GGGCCAGUUUCAAUUAACGCGUCGCGCGCCGUUUUUAUUCUGCUAAUUAGCACAGUGACACAGGCAUGCAAACUUCCAGGUUAAUAUUUCGCCAUAAACUGACAUUUGGAGAAGAAUUAUGAGGACAUGUUCAACAACAUCCAAGCUGAAGAAGUAGAGGACCUUUUAUUGAUUUGGAGACCAAGGCAGAGCAGGAGCGCAGCACUAAAAGAGCCUGGGGAAAGGCCUGCCUUAUUUCGUGGUGGAAGCUUGCACGAAACAGGAAGACAUGGCAGUGUUACAUGAAUGAUUAUAUAAUGACAAUACAGAAAAAAAGUUUGAGGGUUAAUGUGUUUCAUGUGUUCAACUGACUACUCAAGUCAACAUCUAUACUGUAAUGAAGCUUCAGAAUUUAGCCUUUCUAAAGAAUAUUUAGGAUCUUAAGUGGAUGGACUUGUUAACCCAUUUCCAGUAACAUUUUGAUGUAUUCAUGAUAUAUAGCUGUGUAUAUGUUCUAGAAACAUAUUAUUUCUACCAGCCAAUGAAAGAGAGAGAUGUCUGUGUGAAAAUCUAAGCUAACUGAAAUGUGUGAGCAACUCAAUAGUUUACUAGUUCAUGAAACAUGCCAUGAAAAGAAAACAAAUCUAGAAAGGGAGUCAGAUAUCAAAAUAGCAAUGAAAGAACAGAAAUAUCUAAAACUUGCAGAAUCCACUUGAUUUAGUCUGUUUGUGAGAGAAAAAUUAAUGUUGAAGUGCAAUAUCAACUAAAUUUGCUGGAAUUAUCCCAACUGGCAAUUAUGAAGCCUUGCUGGAAUUCAUAUUACAGAUAAAGUUUGCUGGACAGAAAUCAUGUCUAAAUAAUGAAGAUACAGAAGUGGCUUUGAUAUAUGAGAAAAAUAUACUUGAAAAAUGGAAUAGCUUUAUUUAAGAAAUAAUUUAAUACGCAAAUACCAACUUGUGAAUUUGGUUUUCGUAAAAUAAUGAGGUUUUAUCUAUAUUUAUGCAUACAAGGAAUGUAUACCACAUUAUUAAUAUUA
This is a long non-coding RNA of Ruditapes philippinarum (Manila clam), 1015 nucleotides long. RefSeq lists it as uncharacterized. The record is from RefSeq and is a predicted model, not a curated record. The transcript has 2 exons. NCBI's taxonomy places the organism in Eukaryota, Metazoa, Mollusca, Bivalvia, Venerida, Veneridae.